This is a non-coding RNA of Hordeum vulgare subsp. vulgare (domesticated barley), 135 nucleotides long. The record is from Rfam. Lineage: Eukaryota; Viridiplantae; Streptophyta; Magnoliopsida; Poales; Poaceae.
GUCAUACUCCCUCCGUUUCAAAAUUCUUGUCUUAGAUUUCUUUAAAUAUGGAUGCAUCUAGUAAUGUUUUAGUGUUAGAUACAUCCACAUCUAAAUAAAUCAUAGACAAGAAUUUUAGGACGGAGGUAGUAUUUG